UACGUAGGGUGCAAGCGUUAAUCGGAAUUACUGGGCGUAAAGCGUGCGCAGGCGGUUAUGCAAGACAGAUGUGAAAUCCCCGGGCUCAACCUGGGAACUGCAUUUGUGACUGCAUGGCUAGAGUGCGGCAGAGGGGGAUGGAAUUCCGCGUGUAGCAGUGAAAUGCGUAGAUAUGCGGAGGAACACCGAUGGCGAAGGCAAUCCCCUGGGCCUGCACUGACGCUCAUGCACGAAAGCGUGGGGAGCGAACAGG
Molecule: ribosomal RNA, 253 nt
Filed under: uncultured bacterium
Lineage: Bacteria
Description: partial 16S ribosomal RNA
Rfam family: Bacterial small subunit ribosomal RNA
Source: RNAcentral